RNAcentral lists this transfer RNA (75 nucleotides) under Chloroflexota bacterium. RNAcentral's name for it is "Chloroflexi bacterium tRNA-Ala". It matches the Rfam family "tRNA". From Rfam's summary of the family: Transfer RNA (tRNA) molecules are approximately 80 nucleotides in length. Their secondary structure includes four short double-helical elements and three loops (D, anti-codon, and T loops). Lineage: Bacteria; Bacillati; Chloroflexota. The record is from RNAcentral.
GGGGCUGUAGCUCAAUGGGAGAGUGCUUGACUGGCAGUCAAGAGGUUAGCGGUUCGAGUCCGCUCAGCUCCACCA